Cynoglossus semilaevis (tongue sole) is the source of this 2024-nucleotide long non-coding RNA. RefSeq lists it as uncharacterized. The transcript is spliced from 5 exons. The record is from RefSeq and is a predicted model, not a curated record. NCBI's taxonomy places the organism in Eukaryota, Metazoa, Chordata, Actinopteri, Pleuronectiformes, Cynoglossidae.
UUUAACAGACCUAAACGCAGCAUUGAUAUGGCAUCAUCCUUGGCGAAACGAGCUUCUCGUUGCUUUAAUCCCUUCAAUAUGACGGGAACACACCCACUCAGUCCUUAUUAAAGUGCAGCUCAUUGACACAAUUUCACCACUUUGGGCUGAGUUUUAUCCAGCACGCAGGCUGCUGCUCUCGAGCUCUUUCACGUGUACACGGUUGAUUUAAAAUAAGCAGAAUGUGUUCUCAAAAGUCCUGUCAGGUUUUAAAGAGUGUUGGUGGAGGUUAUGUGGGCAUAAUGGAUACUGAUGACGGACCAAAGCUGUCCGUCAUGGAUAUUCAAGGAGGAACAAAUAAUGCACCAAAAAUAAUUAUUUACCAGCGGAUGGAACAAAAAGGAAAUCAGAGCGGAAAAGCAAAUCAGGUGGCCCUCUGCUGUCCACAUGAUCAGCUUUUCUACACCAUUUGUGUAAAAGAGAAAAAGAUUAAGUUAGAGAAAGCUAAAGCUGAGCCCAGUGGAAAAUACCUCUGUGGAUUGUCUGAGUGUUGGUUUAAAAAAGACAACAAUGAUGGUUCAGCAUAUCAUGCUCUGGAGUCCGUGGAUGAACCUGGCCAGUACCUUUGUUUAGUACCUGGAAGCAAAGACGUCUGCAUUAAGCCACAGGUGUACUGCUUGAGGAUCAAGUAGGGAAGGUGAAGUUCACCCGAAAGGACUGUAACAUGGUCUGUACCAGGGGACAGCUCCACCUACCAGGAUAGAUAGAUAGAUAGACAGAUAGAUAGAUAGAUAGAUAGAUAGAUAGAUAGAUAGAAACUCGGCUUCUUGUUUAUGAACUUUGAAGAAAGAAAUUGGAAAGAAAUCUCAGAACAGUUGGCUUUUAUACCCACUUCGUUUAUUUUUAGAAGUUUAUUUUAAAUCGUGUCGUUUUCUUGAACCCUUUCACCCAUAAAAGCCACUAUGGCUAAAGAUAAUUAAUGCGAGCAUGUCCAUUGUGUACUGCAGAUACACAUUAGCCACUGCAUUGUACUCAAUCCUAUCACCUUACACCACCACCUAGUGGAGAGUCAGAUAUGUCAUGUUUUCGGGUAUUACUGCGUAAAUAUGGUAGUUACUCAUACUGUAUUUUGUGGAAUGCAAAGCAUAUAUAUACACGUAUAUACUGUAUAUAUUUAUACACAUAUAUGUAUCACAAGCCAAUCACAAGAUGUUUGCAUUCGCUUUAUUUUAGAAAUGUCUGAUAAUAUCUGCCAACCGAUAUUAUAGGCCGAUAUUAGCUUAAUUAUGUAAUUUGGUCGUUUCCGAUAAUGAGUAUAUAUAAUAACGCAACGCCUGGAUUUUGCCAAACGAUGUGUGCUCUAAAAUAGUUUGUGAAGUGAAAGUGAAACUGUUAUUUGUAUUGUACACAGUAUUAUCAUUGUGGCAUACCACUGCACAUAAUGAAACGUGUACUCUCCCUUUAACCCAAACGCCUACAUAUAUCGGCAUCGGGUGAUAUCGGAAGUUUUUGGACAACAUGUGCAAUUUGGAUAUCGACAAAAUGUUAAUAUCGGACAUCCCUACUUUAUUUCCAUUGGUUUGUUCUUUCGAGUCUGUAUGUGAGUGUUUACACUGCUGGUAAGCACAGAAAUUCCUCUCUGUAACUUCCACUGUACUAUGUCUCCCCACAAAUAUGUGACACUGACAGUUUAUUGGCAUCGGAGUUCUGCAGCGUGAUGUUCCAGAGCUGCUGUAAUUAGUUGUGCUGUUCCGAGCACAGUCACCGCCUCAGACUACCGUCAGAGAUUACCAAAAUAAACGGAUGCGGUGAAUGGACGCACAUGGUGUGCACGCACGAUAAGCGUAUCUAUACCAUGCAUGUACUCGACUGUUAUUCACUUAAUACAAAUUGCCUGCUUGGUUAACAUGUAAAAUACACACAAACGGUUUUUUUUUCUUUUUAAUGAAUUACUGUCUAAGGCUGAUGAUUGUCAUUUUAUUCGUAAUGGCAGUGUUUUACUGUGAAUCGACAAUAAAUAAAUAAACAAAAGAAGCUGUUUAUCC